This is a long non-coding RNA of Passer domesticus (house sparrow), 560 nucleotides long. RefSeq lists it as uncharacterized. Lineage: Eukaryota; Metazoa; Chordata; Aves; Passeriformes; Passeridae. The record is from RefSeq and is a predicted model, not a curated record. The transcript is spliced from 3 exons.
AGGCUUCCCUGAGCUCUGUGGCACGUGGAGAUCUCAGGGAAAGGGUUACAAGACCACAGAUGCCAAAUGAGCUGUGCAGCUCCAAGCCAGGAGGCCAGUAUCAACCCUCUCCACCCUCUCAUCCUGUGCCAGAAAUAUGAUGUAUGGCAUACUGCAGAAUAUAUCACCAUGUCUCUCCAGAUCCCUGCCAGCAUACUGGGGAUGAUUUCAAGUGAUGCCCCUGUGAAGAGAAAUCGAGAGCUCACACUUGGGCCAGAUGGCCUCUCAAACCUGCAGGUCAGGCUGCAAUCUCACUGGCAGGAGGCUGGAUCAACCUCAGUCACAUCACCUUUCAUCUUGCUGGAGUCACUCUGGUCUGAGGUGGGUAAGGGGCAGGGAGCCCUGGGUUUGGCCAAAUGGUCAACAAGGCCUUUGUGGCUUGCUAAAAAUUUUUAAAUGCCUCUAUGGGUCUUGCAGUGGAUAAAACUGGCAGAAAUUAGCUCCAAAUGUGGCUGGCUCAGAAAAAGGAGUCAGCAGUGCUCAGACUGAGAGAAACCAGUAUCAGCUUUUUGGCCCAGAAG